Molecule: ribosomal RNA, 519 nt
Filed under: uncultured eukaryote
Lineage: Eukaryota
Description: SSU rRNA
Rfam family: Eukaryotic small subunit ribosomal RNA
Source: RNAcentral
AGGGCACCACCAGGAGUGGAGCCUGCGGCUUAAUUUGACUCAACACGGGGAGACUUACCCGGCCUGGACACUGGAAGGAUUGACAGAUUGAGAGCUCUUUCUUGAUUCAGUGGGUGGUGGUGCAUGGCCGUUCUUAGUUGGUGGAGCGAUUUGUCUGGUUAAUUCCGAUAACGAACGAGACUCUAGCCUAUUAAAUAGGCUCUCGGCUUUUAAACGCCGGGAGGACUUCUUAGAGGGACAGGUGGCGGUUCAGCCGCACGAAAGAGAGCAAUAACAGGUCUGUGAUGCCCUUUGUUGUCCGGGGCCGCACGCGCGCUACACUGAAGAGAUCAGCGUGCUUUACGUUCCUGCUCCGACCGGAGUGGGGAACCCAGUGAACCUUCUUCGUGAUUGGGAUAGAAGAUUGUAAUUAUUCUUCUUGAACGAGGAAUUCCCAGUAAAUGCGAGUCAUAAGCUCGCGUUGAUUACGUCCCUGCCCUUUGUACACACCGCCCGUCGCUACUACCGAUUGAACGAUUU